UGACUGGUGAGCAAUGCACACGUGGAUUGCCAGGAGCAUUUAACUAGACAGAUGGAUUGCCAGGAGCAUUCAGCUUGACUUCUCAAGCGUCAUCAACUGGACAGCAUUCCAUUCCGCUGCUGUUGAUAUAACCUGGGUGUAUCCGCUAGGUUGCUCCAGUACUCGACACCUAGCCUGCGGCAUGGGAAAUCUUCAUCCUGGAACUCUUCAGGCAUCCUGCUCUAUAAUGUAGACAGGUUGGCUAUCAGGUCAUCGCAUAUGACCGUACUGGCAACUGACCAUUUGGUUGCCGAUCAGCGGGACUACGACGGGCGCACAGUUCAACCCCUGAGGAAUGUGCAUUCAGAUGUCGGAUCAUCGUGGAUUCUCCAUAAAGCACUAGUCCGCACUGGACGCUGCUACCCAUGACCAUCAUGGCUAGCCAGUCUGCUCACCAGCCACCAGGACAAGCACAGCGAACAAGUUCAGAAUUAUUUCACUGGGAAUUAUUCUGGAGCAAGGCUUCUUCCUCAAGAACUUGGCUGCUGUACACCUUGUUCG
Molecule: long non-coding RNA, 540 nt
Organism: Sycon ciliatum
Lineage: Eukaryota; Metazoa; Porifera; Calcarea; Leucosolenida; Sycettidae
Exons: 3
Source: RefSeq, a predicted model, not a curated record